GACGAACGCUGGCGGCGUGCCUAAUACAUGCAAGUAGAACGCACAGUUUAUACCGUAGCUUGCUACACCAUAAACUGUGAGUUGCGAACGGGUGAGUAACGCGUAGGUAACCUGCCUGGUAGCGGGGGAUAACUAUUGGAAACGAUAGCUAAUACCGCAUAAUAUUAAUUAUUGCAUGAUAAUUGAUUGAAAGAUGCAAUUGCAUCACUACCAGAUGGACCUGCGUUGUAUUAGCUAGUAGGUGAGGUAACGGCUCACCUAGGCAACGAUACAUAGCCGACCUGAGAGGGUGAUCGGCCACACUGGGACGGAGACACGGCCCAGACUCCUACGGGAGGCAGCAGUAGGGAAUCUUCGGCAAUGGACGAAAGUCUGACCGAGCAACGCCGCGUGAGUGAAGAAGGUUUUCGGAUCGUAAAGCUCUGUUGUAAGAGAAGAACGGGUGUGAGAGUGGAAAGUUCACACUGUGACGGUAUCUUACCAGAAAGAGACGGCUAACUACGUG
RNAcentral lists this ribosomal RNA (505 nucleotides) under uncultured bacterium. RNAcentral describes it as "partial 16S ribosomal RNA". It matches the Rfam family "Bacterial small subunit ribosomal RNA", at positions 28 to 507 of the family's 1533-position model. The record is from RNAcentral.